AGUGGCGGACUGGUGAGUAACACGUAAGCAACCUGCCUAUUAGAGGGGAAUAACAGUGAGAAAUCAUUGCUAAUACCGCAUAUGCCAUAAUCACCACAUGGUGGUAGUGGGAAAGGAGCAAUCCGCUAAUAGAUGGGCUUGCGUCUGAUUAGCUAGUUGGUGGGGUAAAGGCCUACCAAGGCGACGAUCAGUAGCCGGACUGAGAGGUUGAACGGCCACAUUGGGACUGAGAUACGGCCCAGACUCCUACGGGAGGCAGCAGUCGGGAAUAUUGCGCAAUGGAGGGAACUCUGACGCAGUGACGCCGCGUAUAGGAAGAAGUUUUUCGGAAUGUAAACUAUUGUCGUUAGGGAAGAGAAAGGACGGUACCUAAGGAGGAAGCCCCGGCUAACUAUGUGCCAGCAGCCGCGGUAAUACAUAGGGGGCAAGCGUUAUCCGGAAUUAUUGGGUGUAAAGGGUGCGUAGACGGGAAAUUAAGUUAGUUGUGAAAUCCCCAGGCUCAACUUGGGAAUUGCAACUAAAACUGGUUUUCUUGAGUACUGGAGAGGAAAGUGGAAUUCCUAGUGUAGCGGUGAAAUGCGUAGAUAUUAGGAGGAACACCAGUGGCGAAGGCGACUUUCUGGACAGAAACUGACGUUGAGGCACGAAAGUGUGGGGAGCAAACAGGAUUAGAUACCCUGGUA
Molecule: ribosomal RNA, 683 nt
Filed under: uncultured bacterium
Lineage: Bacteria
Description: bacterial SSU rRNA
Rfam family: Bacterial small subunit ribosomal RNA
Source: RNAcentral